GACGAACGCUGGCGGCGUGCUUAACACAUGCAAGUCGAACGGAAAGGCCCUGCUUUUUUGGGGGGCUCGAGUGGCGAACGGGUUAGUAACACGUGAGUAACCUGCCCUUUACUUUGGGAUAACUUCAUGAAACUGGGGCUAAUACCGGAUAGGAGCUCCUGCUGCAUGGGGGGGGGUGGAAAGUUUCGGCGGUUGGGGAUGGACUCGCGGCUGAUCAGCUUGUUUGUGGGGGAGUGGCUUACCAAGGCCUUGACGGGUAGCCGGCCUGAGAGGGUGACCGGCAAACUUGGGACUGACAUACGGCCCAGACUACUACGGGAGGCAGCGGUGGGGAAUAUUGCACAACGGGCGGAAGCCUGAUGCAGCAACGCCGCGUGCGGGAUGAAGGCCUUCGGGUUGUAAACAGAUUUCGCAUGUGACGAAGCGAGAGUGACGGUAAUGGGUAAAGAAGCCCCGGCUAACUACGUG
This 468-nucleotide ribosomal RNA is filed under the name uncultured bacterium. RNAcentral's name for it is "partial 16S ribosomal RNA". It matches the Rfam family "Bacterial small subunit ribosomal RNA", at positions 28 to 507 of the family's 1533-position model. The record is from RNAcentral.